RNAcentral lists this long non-coding RNA (1620 nucleotides) under Olea europaea subsp. europaea. Lineage: Eukaryota; Viridiplantae; Streptophyta; Magnoliopsida; Lamiales; Oleaceae. The record is from RNAcentral.
CUGAAAUCUUAGCUGGUAUGAAACUGCGUAAUUUUAAAAAGUUUUCUUGUCAUUGCACUUGGAAUUGUUGUUGUGGGCUAUGUUGGCAUUUUGCGUUAGCUUGUCUUCCUUGUCUGUCUGCUGCUGUGGCUAUUCAUUAGUAUAAAUAUCGACUGGCCGUUAGUUUGUGUAUAAAAUUCCAAUUAGUCUAUGCACUGAAGUAAAUUGGUUGAUAGAUCAUAAUAUCUACUAAUUUUGUUUCAGUUAAAACCAUGCACCAUUCUCCUCUUAGUUGUUAAUUUCAUCCCUGAAUUUGUUCCUGACCAGGGAUCAUCUUGUAAUAUUUAUAUAUACAUCAAAGAUACGUGUGGACGAAUAGGAAUUUAUGGAAGAUAGAAGGGUUUGUUUGUUUCAUUGAAAGAAAGGAAUAUCUACAUUUGACUAGUCUAUCUUAUGGGUUGGAUUUGGAAAUUAUAGGCAUCUAGUAUUAGUCACAUACAUAGGACGUGCCUUUUAGCUUAACACAUUGCCAUUACUUGACACACACAGAGGUAUGAGGGGGCGAUAUCACUUUUAUUGAAUCAAUAUAAUUCAGGGAAUUGGGGAGUGCUUUGCCCAAUAUAAGCAGUCAUUUUGUGCAAUAUGGAAAUUGAGCAAGUAUUGUGUUGGGCCUAUUUGCAGAUUUAUGUCUAAAGUUUCGAUUGGGAGGUUAUUUAUCCAAAACAAAAUGUGAACUUAUUUGCGAGUUGAUUUCAUUUAUGUAUAACUGUAUGAAAUGGGUAACUAACAAACAUGACAGUGCAUUUGUGUCUCUUGUGUUCUCGAGUUUGCGACAUUAUUUUUAAGUAAAUUUUUAACUUUCCCUUCAUCUGUGCAUAUUCAUGAUGAAGUUUGGGAUCGUUUGUUAUUUGCAUAGAUGUCUGGCCCAAGUAGUGCUGGAAAUAUUGGAUUAGGACCAAUACCAAUAUGUGAGGAAGAUAGCAUGACCAAUGUACCGAAGAGCAAUGUCCCGCAAGAAGAUCCAGUUGAACUAUUACCAAAUGCGGAAGGAAGGACAAUAAACCUAAGUGACGAGGAGCGUGAUAUUGGAGAAAUAUAAUUUGGAAAGAGGAAAUUGACUUCAACUGUGUGGGAGCACUACAAAAGACAGAAAAUUGAUGAGAAAUGGAAUGCUAUAUGCAAUCAUUGCAAGAAACAGUUAGGGGUGAAACCAUUGGCAUGAUCAUUUGAAGAGAUGUGUACUUCGUUAUAAAAAUAAUACUCACCAAGCAACAUUAAAUUUAAAAAAGGAUGCCACGAGUGGCAAGGUCACAAUGGGUACGUACUCUUUCGAUCCAGAAAAGUGUAGAUAUAGUCUUUCGAAAAUGGUGAUUUUGCAUAAGUAUCCUUUGUCUAUGGUUGAUCACAUUGGAUUUCUAGAGUUCUUGCACGACCUACAACCAUUGUUUAAGGUUCCUUCUCGCAACACUUCCAAGAGCGACAUUUUGAAAAUCUAUGAAUAUGAGAGAGCCAAAAACAUGAUUGCACUUGAGAAGAUCGAGAGUAGAAUUUCAAUCAUUAUCGACAUGUGGACCUUUUCUAAUCAAAAGAGAGGAUUUAUAGUUAUCACUGCUCAUCUCAUAGAUGAUGCGUGAAAAUUAC